CCAACACCCUGCAGCUUACACUCCUCCAGGCACCCGCUUGGCCCCUAGAGCCCAGAAGGCCAGUGCUUAUCAUCGAAGAGACUCUCAGAUGUGGGGGGUUUCCUGUAAAGACUCUCUCCAGCUCAUGGUCUCUGGGAACACAGGGCAACUCCAGCCGUGUGGCGGGUUUUGCUUCACUUUCAUUUAACAUUAUAAUUAGCUGCUUCUCCAGAGAUGUUCAGCCAAGUCCCCUGGGCGAGUGUGUGGAUUAAAUGUUCUCUGCCUGAUGCCACAGGCUUUGUGCUAAUUCCCAGCUGGAUGCAUUCCCAGUGAGGUACCGUGUCCUUCAAACCAAGGUGCCAGGCCCCUGCUGGGAGGGGGUGGGG
This is a long non-coding RNA of Chelonia mydas (Green sea turtle), 365 nucleotides long. RefSeq lists it as uncharacterized. NCBI's taxonomy places the organism in Eukaryota, Metazoa, Chordata, Testudines, Cheloniidae. The transcript is spliced from 3 exons. The record is from RefSeq and is a predicted model, not a curated record.